RNAcentral lists this long non-coding RNA (882 nucleotides) under Nicotiana benthamiana. RNAcentral's name for it is "long non-coding RNA (NBEN_LNC024763)". The record is from RNAcentral. Lineage: Eukaryota; Viridiplantae; Streptophyta; Magnoliopsida; Solanales; Solanaceae.
AUGAUCAAGAAUAUAGUGGAGAGGACAGCGAUGAUUCAGUCAAGCGAAAAUUUCAAAGGAAAACUACAAAUAACAACUGUCGUGCAUCUUUGUAUCAAACACCAACUCAAAACAGUUUCUUAAACCAUAAUGCUCCACUUUUUGUUCCAAGAAAUAACGCAAAAACUGUUACUUCAACUGUAGCGACAGCAAAGUUCAACAAAAAUGAAACAGUCAAUAAUCGUCAACUAAGCUUAGCCGAAGCAUCAGUGGGUGACGGAAUCGCAAAUGCGCUGCCAUCAACUAGUCAGAAUCAGAAGCAGCAAAUGAAUGCAAAGUCGCAGGCGGGACAGAUCGUCACAGCAGCUUCAGUAAUCUUGGAAAGACAACUAUAAAUGCAAAGUCGCAGGCGGGAAAGAUCGUCACAGCAGCUUUAGUAAUCUUGGAAAGACAACUAUUGGAAGUGAUGGAAAUGCCAAAUCCAAUUCUCCCAGGAAGACACUUAUAUGAAGAAGGGGAAGAAGAGGAUAUUUUAAACCAAUGACGAGCAGACGCUUCAAUAAAAGGAGAUCUGUCACCAAUGCAUAGCGCAAGAAAGAAGAAAUCUCAUCAAAGCGAAAGAAGUUGGGACGGCAGGGCGUGUGAAGACGUAAUCAUAAGGAAGCUCCCAAUGAGAAAUGCAAAGAAAAAACAAACAGUGCAACCUUCCGUCUUAAAACCUACUCGACUGAGGAACAAGCGGGAAGUUUAAAGACAUUUGGAGUCAACACUCCACAUACUUGAAGAAAAGAAAGCAAUUAUGCUUUCUUUCCCAUCUCUUUAAUGUUUAUUGUUUUCUUGCUUUUUAUUUUAUGAGGCUUUUUUUUAGCAACGAUAGGUUUUAUAAGGUAUGGUCGCUGCCGG